CUUAGUGGCAGACGGGUGAGUAACAUGUGGGUAUCUACCCUUUGGCCUGGAAUAACACGAGGAAACUUGUGCUAAUACCGGAUAAGUCUUUACGGAGAAAGCUUUAUGCACCAUUGGAUGAGCCCGCACUUGACUAGUUUGUUGGUAGGGUAAUGGCCUACCAAGACUAUGAUCAAUAGCUGAUUUGAGAGGAUGAUCAGCCACAUUGGGACUGAGACACGGCCCAAACUCCUACGGGAGGCAGCAGUGGGGAAUCUUGCACAAUGGAGGAAACUCUGAUGCAGCGAUGCCGCGUGAGUGAAGAAGGCCUUUGGGUUGUAAAGCUCUUUCGUCGGGGAAGAAAAUGACUGUACCCGAAUAAGAAGGUCCGGCUAACUUCGUGCCAGCAGCCGCGGUAAUACGAAGGGACCUAGCGUAGUUCGGAAUUACUGGGCUUAAAGAGUUCGUAGGUGGUUGAAAAAGUUGGUGGUGAAAUCCCAGAGCUUAACUCUGGAACUGCCAUCAAAACUUUUCAGCUAGAGUAUGAUAGAGG
Molecule: ribosomal RNA, 532 nt
Filed under: uncultured Pelagibacterales bacterium
Lineage: Bacteria; Pseudomonadati; Pseudomonadota; Alphaproteobacteria; Candidatus Pelagibacterales
Description: bacterial SSU rRNA
Rfam family: Bacterial small subunit ribosomal RNA
Source: RNAcentral